RNAcentral lists this ribosomal RNA (265 nucleotides) under uncultured bacterium. RNAcentral's name for it is "partial 16S ribosomal RNA". It matches the Rfam family "Bacterial small subunit ribosomal RNA", at positions 793 to 1055 of the family's 1533-position model. The record is from RNAcentral.
GUCCACGCCGUAAACGUUGGGAACUAGGUGUUGGCGACAUUCCACGUCGUCGGUGCCGCAGCUAACGCAUUAAGUUCCCCGCCUGGGGAGUACGGCCGCAAGGCUAAAACUCAAAGGAAUUGACGGGGGCCCGGCCACAAGCAGCGGAGCAUGUGGCUUAAUUCGACGCAACGCGAAGAACCUUACCAAGGCUUGACAUACACCGGAAACCCCUAACGAGAUGGGGCCCCGUCUGGUCGGUGUACAGGUGGUGCAUGGCUGUCGU